RNAcentral lists this ribosomal RNA (1394 nucleotides) under uncultured bacterium. Its description in RNAcentral is "bacterial SSU rRNA". It matches the Rfam family "Bacterial small subunit ribosomal RNA". The record is from RNAcentral.
UGACCUGGCUCAGAACGAACGCUGGCGGCAUGCCUAACACAUGCAAGUCGAACGAGAAGAUCCCGCAAGGGAUUUGUAAAGUGGCGCACGGGUGAGUAACACGUGGGUAAUCUGCCUUUUUGUUUGGGAUAACCCUUCGAAAGAAGGGCUAAUACCGGAGAGACCACAGGGACAUCAGUCCUAGGGGUUAAAGAUGGGGACCGUAAGGCCUAUCGCAGAAAGAUGAGCCCGCGCACUAUCAGCUAGUUGGUGAGGUAAUGGCUCACCAAGGCUAUGACGGUUAGCUGGUCUGAGAGGAUGAUCAGCCACACUGGAACUGAGACACGGUCCAGACUCCUACGGGAGGCAGCAGUGGGGAAUCUUGCACAAUGGGCGAAAGCCUGAUGCAGCAAUGCCGCGUGAGUGAUGAAGGCCUUCGGGUUGUAAAUCUCUGUCGGUUGGGAAAAAUGGCUUUGCAGUGAAUAAUUGCAGAGAGUGAUGGUACCAGCAAAGGAAGAGGCGGCUAACUCUGUGCCAGCAGCCGCGGUAAUACAGAGGCCUCGAGCGUUGUUCGGAAUUACUGGGCGUAAAGGGAAUGUAGGUGGUGACGUAAGUCAGAUGUGAAAGCCCUGGGCUUAACCUGGGAAGUGCAUUUGAUACUGCGUUGCUUGAGUACGAGAGAGGAAAGCGGAAUUUCCAGUGUAGGAGUGAAAUCCGUAGAUAUUGGGAGGAAUACCGAUGGCGAAGGCAGCUUUCUGGCUCGUAACUGACACUGAGAUUCGAAAGCGUGGGUAGCAAACAGGAUUAGAUACCCUGGUAGUCCACGCCGUAAACGAUGGAUGCUUGUUGUUGGAUAGGUCAACCCUUCCAGUAACGAAGCUAACGCGUUAAGCAUCCCGCCUGGGGAGUACGGUCGCAAGAUUAAAACUCAAAGAAAUUGACGGGGACCCGCACAAGCAGUGGAGCAUGUGGUUCAAUUCGACGCAACGCGAAGAACCUUAUCCUGGUCUUGACAUCCUCUGACCGCCAGCGAAAGUUGGUUUUCCCUUCGGGGACAGAGAGACAGGUGCUGCAUGGCUGUCGUCAGCUCGUGUCGUGAGAUGUUGGGUUAAGUCCCGUAACGAGCGCAACCCACGCCUCUUGUUGCCAUCAUUAAGUUGGGCACUCUAGAGGGACUGCCAGUGUUAAACUGGAGGAAGGUGUGGAUGACGUCAAGUCCUCAUGGCCCUUAUGACCAGGGCUACACACGUGCUACAAUGCAGAGUACAAAGGGCUGCGAAACCGUGAGGUGGAGCCAAUCCCAAAAACUUUGCUCAGUUCGGAUUGAAGGCUGCAACUCGACUUCAUGAAGCUGGAAUUGCUAGUAAUCGCAGAUCAGCACGCUGCGGUGAUAUCAACCCGGUGUGACUCACCGC